RNAcentral lists this ribosomal RNA (253 nucleotides) under uncultured bacterium. RNAcentral's name for it is "partial 16S ribosomal RNA". It matches the Rfam family "Bacterial small subunit ribosomal RNA", at positions 524 to 776 of the family's 1533-position model. The record is from RNAcentral.
GACAGAGGGUGCGAACGUUGUUCGGAAUUACUGGGCGUAAAGCGCGUGUAGGCUGUUCGGAAAGUCGGGUGUGAAAGCCCUGGGCUCAACCUAGGAAGUGCACUCGAAACUCCCGAACUGGAGUCCCGGAGAGGAAGGCGGAAUUCUCGGUGUAGCGGUGAAAUGCGUAGAUAUCUGGAGGAACACCGGUGGCGAAGGCGGCAUCCUGGACCGACACUGACGCUGAGGAGCGAAAGCCAGGGGAGCAAACGGG